RNAcentral lists this ribosomal RNA (709 nucleotides) under Acinetobacter baumannii. Its description in RNAcentral is "bacterial SSU rRNA". It matches the Rfam family "Bacterial small subunit ribosomal RNA", at positions 57 to 760 of the family's 1533-position model. The record is from RNAcentral. Lineage: Bacteria; Pseudomonadati; Pseudomonadota; Gammaproteobacteria; Moraxellales; Moraxellaceae.
GCAAGUCGAGCGGGGGAAGGUAGCUUGCUACUGGACCUAGCGGCGGACGGGUGAGUAAUGCUUAGGAAUCUGCCUAUUAGUGGGGGACAACAUCUCGAAAGGGAUGCUAAUACCGCAUACGUCCUACGGGAGAAAGCAGGGGAUCUUCGGACCUUGCGCUAAUAGAUGAGCCUAAGUCGGAUUAGCUAGUUGGUGGGGUAAAGGCCUACCAAGGCGACGAUCUGUAGCGGGUCUGAGAGGAUGAUCCGCCACACUGGGACUGAGACACGGCCCAGACUCCUACGGGAGGCAGCAGUGGGGAAUAUUGGACAAUGGGGGGAACCCUGAUCCAGCCAUGCCGCGUGUGUGAAGAAGGCCUUAUGGUUGUAAAGCACUUUAAGCGAGGAGGAGGCUACUUUAGUUAAUACCUAGAGAUAGUGGACGUUACUCGCAGAAUAAGCACCGGCUAACUCUGUGCCAGCAGCCGCGGUAAUACAGAGGGUGCGAGCGUUAAUCGGAUUUACUGGGCGUAAAGCGUGCGUAGGCGGCUUAUUAAGUCGGAUGUGAAAUCCCCGAGCUUAACUUGGGAAUUGCAUUCGAUACUGGUGAGCUAGAGUAUGGGAGAGGAUGGUAGAAUUCCAGGUGUAGCGGUGAAAUGCGUAGAGAUCUGGAGGAAUACCGAUGGCGAAGGCAGCCAUCUGGCCUAAUACUGACGCUGAGGUACGAAAGC